Anas platyrhynchos (mallard) is the source of this 259-nucleotide non-coding RNA. The record is from RefSeq and is a predicted model, not a curated record. Lineage: Eukaryota; Metazoa; Chordata; Aves; Anseriformes; Anatidae.
GCACGUCUGCAUUCCUGUUCCGCUUCAGGUACAAAAUUCGGGAGUUUGAAACAACAUGAAGGCAGUACACAAAUAAUCAGUUCACGGCAUUGUCAGCUUCAGCAAGAAGGACUCUCAUUUCUUAAAACAGAGAAAAGGCUAAUUUAUGGCUUCCUGUGAACAAACUCCAGUCUGAAUGGCUUCCUUCAAAACCUCGGUGGUGCUCUCACGAACAAUGGCUGAAGCUGAAAAACGAGACGGGGCUGACUGCAUGAACAGG